GGACGAACGCUGGCGGCGUGCCUAAUACAUGCAAGUCGAGCGAGCGGAACUAACAGAUUUACUUCGGUAAUGACGUUAGGAAAGCGAGCGGCGGAUGGGUGAGUAACACGUGGGGAAUCUGCCCCAUAGUCUGGGAUACCACUUGGAAACAGGUGCUAAUACCGGAUAAGAAAGCAGAUCGCAUGAUCAGCUUUUAAAAGGCGGCGUAAGCUGUCGCUAUGGGAUGGCCCCGCGGUGCAUUAGCUAGUUGGUAAGGUAAAGGCUUACCAAGGCGAUGAUGCAUAGCCGAGUUGAGAGACUGAUCGGCCACAUUGGGACUGAGACACGGCCCAAACUCCUACGGGAGGCAGCAGUAGGGAAUCUUCCACAAUGGCGCAAGCCUGAUGGAGCAACACCGCGUGAGUGAAGAAGGGUUUCGGCUCGUAAAGCUCUGUUGUUGGAGAAGAACGUGCGUGAGAGUAACUGUUCACGCAGUGACGGUAUCCAACCAGAAAGUCACGGCUAACUACGUGCCAGCAGCCGCGGUAAUACGUAGGUGGCAAGCGUUAUCCGGAUUUAUUGGGCGUAAAGCGAGCGCAGGCGGUUGCUUAGGUCUGAUGUGAAAGCCUUCGGCUUAACCGAAGAAGUGCAUCGGAAACCGGGCGACUUGAGUGCAGAAGAGGACAGUGGAACUCCAUGUGUAGCGGUGGAAUGCGUAGAUAUAUGGAAGAACACCAGUGGCGAAGGCGGCUGUCUGGUCUGCAACUGACGCUGAGGCUCGAAAGCAUGGGUAGCGAACAGGAUUAGAUACCCUGGUAGUCCAUGCCGUAAACGAUGAGUGCUAGGUGUUGGAGGGUUUCCGCCCUUCAGUGCCGGAGCUAACGCAUUAAGCACUCCGCCUGGGGAGUACGACCGCAAGGUUGAAACUCAAAGGAAUUGACGGGGGCCCGCACAGCGGUGGAGCAUGUGGUUUAAUUCGAAGCUACGC
RNAcentral lists this ribosomal RNA (967 nucleotides) under uncultured bacterium. Its description in RNAcentral is "bacterial SSU rRNA". It matches the Rfam family "Bacterial small subunit ribosomal RNA", at positions 27 to 962 of the family's 1533-position model. The record is from RNAcentral.